CGCACGGCUUCCUCCCCAGCUGCCCCGCCUGCCCGCGCCCACCGCAGCCCCCAGCUGGACCUCCUCCUCUUCCCUGUCCCCUUCCCCAAUGCCGGGCAUCGCAGAUUUCUCCAGAAAAGCCCUGUAACUUGGGAGACCUCUCAGGGCACAGAACGUCUCCGUGAAACCGCUAUUGGGGGCUGAACCAUAUUCUGGAGCUUCUCCGGGGCAGACCCAUGACUUCCGUGUCCUGUAGAUGAAUGAAUGAAUGAGUAAACAGGAGAGGGAGAGUCUACGUCCAUACCACCCUGAGCACACCUAACCUCGUCUGAUAUUGGAAGCUAAGCAGCGUCCGGCCUGAUGAGGGACCAAGAUGCAGAUCCGCAUGGCUGACACGUGGAAGACCUGGAAAUUGCAGUGAGACAGACUGACUCGCCUUUACUUCCUUCUCCCCCAGGCUGUGCUGCCUUCUGGGAAGCAGAGCUGGCCAGGGUAAACCAGCCAGGUGGAACGGCUCUGUGGGGGUAGGUCAGCUGGAUCCCCUGAUACUUAGGGAGCCUGGCUCCCUGCCAGCAAAAUGGGGGCCCACUGGGAAUGAGAUCGAGGAUACGUGGGGUCAGCCACUGGCCCUGCUGGGGCCCCGUGGUCUGCCUGAUCCUCCCCCACCGUGGGCCCCUAAGCCUGGGGAGGUGGGAGCGGCCGCCUCCCUCCCCCUUUCCCAGCCAGAGCUGUGUGAGCUAAUCCCGGGGAGAAGACACAUUAGUACAAGAGAAUCAGUUCCCGCCUGCUCUGCUGAGUCAGCAGGAAGUACAGCCCUUGCUCUGCCAGCUACGUGAGCCCCUGCACGCCG
This is a long non-coding RNA of Lemur catta (Ring-tailed lemur), 829 nucleotides long. RefSeq lists it as uncharacterized. The transcript has 3 exons. The record is from RefSeq and is a predicted model, not a curated record. NCBI's taxonomy places the organism in Eukaryota, Metazoa, Chordata, Mammalia, Primates, Lemuridae.